GUUACCGAACACAAAACUCAAGCUAGUCUCUAAACGCAUUAAAUGCGAGCCAACGCUCAGGUCGAGGUCGCGAUAAUUGGUAAUGCGUUACAUCGUUCACCGAGCGUUUCAGGGCCAUUACGUAAUGUGGAAAAGAGCUUAAGCAAGGGAACAAGCGUGUGCAGUUGACUUUGGCUAAUUGGAGAAAUGCAGCUUCAGUCUCGCUGUGGUUAUUUAUCAAAAUAUUCGCGAUUUUGGACUCGGGUAUAGCCGAAGAGCAGGUUCAAGUGAAAGCAAUUUCGGCAGGCCAUUUCAGCCCUCUCGCAAGGGGUGACAGAAGGGAGGGCGCAUGUGCCAUAUUGAUCAGGGUCUCUACAUCCGUGAGCCCGCAUCUGGGAAUGGUGUUGCUCUACGCUGUUGCUGGAUCCCUAACACGUUUCUAUGUGUAAAUCGUCAGGUGUGUUCAUUCGUACGUACACGCGGAAGCUUGAAAUAGGUUGCGUAUUACGUUCCGUACGCAGACGCGGAAGGAGAGCAUUAAUGAGGGGGGAAAAAUCACGGGAAUCGUCACCGAGGAGUAACGCGAAGAAAUUAUUGGAUAAAAAAAUUCUUCGAUAUUUACGCG
Neodiprion virginianus is the source of this 604-nucleotide long non-coding RNA. RefSeq lists it as uncharacterized. The transcript has 2 exons. Lineage: Eukaryota; Metazoa; Arthropoda; Insecta; Hymenoptera; Diprionidae. The record is from RefSeq and is a predicted model, not a curated record.